CAGACGUAGGCCCGGGGGUUCCCGGCCUGGCCGGGUAGCAGCGCGGGGGCGGCCCUGGGGCGGGGAGACAGGGGGCGGCUCCACUCCGGCGCUCUGCGGAGGACAGCAGCGAUCGCCAAGGCUCACUCUAUGAUCAGAAGAUGGCAUAAGUGGGGCUGGGCACAGUGGCUCAGUGCCCAGCUGGGAUUACGCCUGUAAUACCAGCACUUUGGGAGGCCAAGGUGAGUGGAUCACGAGGUCAGGAGUUGAAGACCAGCCUGGCCAACAUGGAGAAACCCCGUCUCUACUAAAAAUACAAAAAAUUAGCCGGGCGCGGUGGCAGGUGCCUGUAAUCCCAGCUACUCGGGAGGCUGAGGCAGGAGAAUAGCUUGAACUCAGAGGGCGGAGGUUGCAGUGAGCCAAGGUUGCGCCACUGCACUCCAGCCUGGGCGACAGAGUGAGACUCCGUCUCUAAAAAACAAAAAAGAAGAUGGCGUAAUCAGAAGUUGAUAUUCUGUCUAUUGGAUCCUGCUUCUCCCCUGGGGUCUUCUUGGUUCCCUGAAGCCCCUCUUCCGGAGUCCCUGCCCUCUAUCGGCUCUGCCUCCUGCUUCUUUUCUGUAUUGCCAUGAUUUUUGCUAAGGAUAAAGGACAACUUCAUUGGCUUCUUUGGGAAACUUGCAAUCUCCCCAAACAGGCCCCUCUGAGAUUUCUCCUUUCCAUUUGCUUCUGCUCCCCCUUCCUCCUUUUGCCACCUUCGAUAUUUUCUCCAGUUUCCUUGAUUCCUUUGAUACGUCCCCAUUCAGGCCACUCUGGCCCUCCAUCCAACCUGCCAGAACUUUUUCCACUUCAGCACUUCAGUCACUUAAACAUUAGGGCUCCCUGCCCUAAAGGGACUCAAAAUCCUGCAAAAACAACCACCUAAGGAUAAAAAGAGAAAAAAUGAAACUGUUUGGAAACUGGGCAAAUGAAUACUCUUUUAAAAGUCUUUUUCUGGGGGCCAGGUGUGGUGGCUCACGCCUGUAAUCCCAGCACUUUGGGAGGCCGAGGCGGGCAGAUCACAAGGUCAGGAGUUCAAGACCAGCCUGGCCAAUAUGGUGAAACCCCGUCUCUCCUAAUGAUACAAAAAAA
RNAcentral lists this long non-coding RNA (1107 nucleotides) under Homo sapiens (human). RNAcentral describes it as "non-protein coding lnc-MED15-1:3". The record is from RNAcentral. Lineage: Eukaryota; Metazoa; Chordata; Mammalia; Primates; Hominidae.